Molecule: long non-coding RNA, 238 nt
Organism: Eptesicus fuscus (big brown bat)
Lineage: Eukaryota; Metazoa; Chordata; Mammalia; Chiroptera; Vespertilionidae
Exons: 3
Source: RefSeq, a predicted model, not a curated record
CUUCUGUCACUACCCAGGUCUGGGCCCAGAAGCCCUGGGCUGCAGGUUCCUUGGCCAGUGAAAGGGACCCACACAAGUCACAAUGCAGCCUGUGGAGGUUUGGGGUGAAAGUGGAGAAACACUCAGCUGUCCUGACAAGGUUGUAUAGUUGCUGUUACUGGCUGAAAGGACUUCCAGGUGUUUUCGAUGUUGCGAAUAUCUUCCCGGAUUCUGUCGCGUGUCUUCUAAUAUAUCCCUG